CCGUGCUAAGCGGGGGGGCGGCGGUCCCCUGAACCUGAAAUCCGCCAUAGCAGGGCCUAAUCCCCGCCGGAGGUUUGACGACCGGCGAUGCCCGUGCAGGCCUCGUUGACAGCCCGGCUCUCGCGCAACGAACGCCUCCCGAACCCCGCCAGGUCCGGAAGGAAGCAACGGUAGGGAAUGCGCUCGUGUGCCGCGGGAAAUCCGAGCUUGAGGGGUUCUGCCCGGCCAACAUCGUUUGGGAGCGUGAAUCGAAUCGCGGGUGCACGG
This 267-nucleotide signal recognition particle RNA is filed under the name Candidatus Zixiibacteriota bacterium. RNAcentral describes it as "signal recognition particle sRNA large type". It matches the Rfam family "Bacterial large signal recognition particle RNA". From Rfam's summary of the family: The signal recognition particle (SRP) is a universally conserved ribonucleoprotein involved in the co-translational targeting of proteins to membranes. Archaeal SRP consists of a 7S RNA and homologues of the eukaryotic SRP19 and SRP54 proteins. The record is from RNAcentral. Lineage: Bacteria; Pseudomonadati; Candidatus Zixiibacteriota.